This 192-nucleotide ribosomal RNA is filed under the name uncultured Actinomycetes bacterium. RNAcentral describes it as "uncultured actinobacterium partial 16S ribosomal RNA". It matches the Rfam family "Bacterial small subunit ribosomal RNA", at positions 330 to 922 of the family's 1533-position model. The record is from RNAcentral. Lineage: Bacteria; Bacillati; Actinomycetota; Actinomycetes.
GCCCUUCUCCUACGGGAGGCAGCAGUGGGGAAUAUUGGGCAAUGGAGGAAACUCUGACCCAGCGACGCCGCGUGCGGGAUGAAGGCCUUCGGGUUGUAAACCGCUUUCAGUAGGGAAGAAGCGAAAGUGAUAAGUAUUGCACCUGGGGAGUACGAUCACAAGGUUGAAACUCAAAGGAAUUGACGGAAGGGC